This is a long non-coding RNA of Lutra lutra (Eurasian river otter), 457 nucleotides long. RefSeq lists it as uncharacterized. Lineage: Eukaryota; Metazoa; Chordata; Mammalia; Carnivora; Mustelidae. The transcript has 3 exons. The record is from RefSeq and is a predicted model, not a curated record.
CCUUUCAUCUCGCCCACCCACUCCGGAGCAUCCAGAAACAAGUGCACCCCUCCCCAGCCGGGGACUGGGUGGGGCUCAGGCUGCGGACCCUGGCUUGGGCUGGGGAGUGGCCCAGGCCUGGUCCUGGAGAGCCGCUGGCGUCCUCAAUCAAGCGUCCCUGGAAGCCAGCAGAGGGGAAGAGGAGCCCACGGGAAAGAAAUGCAGGCGAGGUUGAGAAUAAAGGCUGCUCCCAGGUAUGACAGCUACCUCGGUAAGAUGGAAGACAGAAUUGACAAGGCAAAUUUCAUGGAUGAGUUAGUAAGGAAGAAGUAAAACUGCAAGAGGUCAUAUUUGUAAAAUAAGCCUGACAAAACAGUUCCCCAUAUGGACUCAUCUGGGUACCUGUGGAAAUGUAAUCACUUUCCUUGUCAGGUAAGUUUGUUAUUCCAUCUCUCAUCUGUAAGGUAGGCUUCUCUUU